AUGGUAGAUGUUGCAGAUGCCUCUAUCCUGGACACCGUGCAGCGGAGUGUUGAGAUCCUUUUAGGUGUUCUCGAUGCCUUGAGAAUGGUCAUCAAGCGUGUGGGUGCCGCAAUGCCUGGUGUCCCCUCAGCUUUUUGGGAAGCCCUACUUUGUCGCCAUUGCCCCGCCUCCCUGUCGGACACCAACAAGCUUCAGUUCCUCGUAAGGUCCAGAAAGAUGUCGUGCCCCUCUCGAAGACGUUUGGUCAUGAUUCUUGGGCAUCGAUCGUUGUUGCUCCUGUUGGCUUUGUGGCCUCGGCGAUAUCCCAGUGCGGCCUGCCUUGGAGAGGCAGGCCGAGCUGUUGCGCUCUGA
RNAcentral lists this ribosomal RNA (351 nucleotides) under Triticum aestivum (bread wheat). Its description in RNAcentral is "partial small subunit ribosomal RNA". Lineage: Eukaryota; Viridiplantae; Streptophyta; Magnoliopsida; Poales; Poaceae. The record is from RNAcentral.